AUUCAGCUGGCGAGCCCCAAAUAGGACGAAACGCGCGUCAAGCUGGAU
Molecule: non-coding RNA, 48 nt
Filed under: Schistosoma mansoni
Lineage: Eukaryota; Metazoa; Platyhelminthes; Trematoda; Strigeidida; Schistosomatidae
Source: RNAcentral